RNAcentral lists this transfer RNA (70 nucleotides) under Ictonyx striatus (striped polecat). Its description in RNAcentral is "tRNA-Gly". The record is from RNAcentral. Lineage: Eukaryota; Metazoa; Chordata; Mammalia; Carnivora; Mustelidae.
AUUUCUCUAGUAUUAAUUAGUACAGUUGACUUCCAAUUAACCAGUUCUGGCAACAACCCAGAGAGAAAUA